UAAAUUAUCAUUUACUGCAAUAUACCGAAAAUAAAAUUUUUAACGUUCGACUAAACUCAAUUAUUUCCAUUCUUACUUUUGUUUCAGUUGAUUUUAUUUAUUUUAAUUUUUUUGUUUAUUUUGUUCAUCACUUUAUAACUGUCACUUUGUUUAUUGUUUUCUUUUUUAAUUUAUUUUUAAUUGUUUACUUUGUGUUUAUUUCAUUUUAUUGAUUUUUUAUUGAUUUUUUAUUAAUUUUUUAUUAAUUUUUUAUUAAUUUUUUAUAGAUUUUUUAUUGAUUUUUUAUGGAUUAUAGAAUUUAUAUUUAACUUUAUCAUUUAAUUUAAAAAAUUAAAAAAAAAUAAAAUAAAAUAAACACUUAUGCAAUGUUUACGUAUAAUACAUACGUGUACGUAAAUUUAUGUUAAUACGUAUAUUAUAACUUGAAAUUCUAUUCUAUUUUUUUUUUUAAUUCAAUUAAAAAUAUCAUUCAUUUCGUUCGUUCGUUCAUUUUUUUUUUUUUUUUUUUUUUUUUUUUUUUUUUUUUUUUUUUUUUUUACUCCCUCCUCCCUUAAAGUAUAGUAUCUAUUAUUAAAAUAUACAAAUAAUUUAAAAAAAGUAAAAAAUAAGAUUGUAUUGCAUUAUUGUAAGCGCAGCAUAUAUAUGCAUAUAUAUAUAUAUGUAUAUAUACAUAAAUUAUUACAACAUUUUCCCUUUUUUUUCCCCUUUUUGUUAUUUUUGAAAGAAAAAAAAAAAGAAAUUAACAAAUUUAUCUGUAAAAAGACUUAAAACACAUAGCUAGUAAAAAACUGAAAACGAUUGAAAAAGAUGGAAAAGGAUGGAAAAGGAUGGAAAAAGAUGGAAAAGGAUGGAAAAAGAUUGAAAAAUAUUAAAGGUUGAAUAAGGUGAAUAAAGUGAAUAAAGACAUAUCCCCAAAAGAAGAAAUCAGUUGCUCAUGUUGCACUUGUCGUGCUUAUGUAUACAUACAUAUACAUAUAGUUAUAUUCAUGGCAUUUAAGAAUUUUAUAAACGAUGGAUUGUCGUUUCAAAGAGUUAAUAAAAAUAAGAAAAUAUAUUUUAGAAGAAAAAAUAGUAGAAACAAGUUUACUCAAAAAUAUAGAACAAUAAAUUCAUUAAAUGCCUUGGACGAUGACGUUAAAAAAGUUAUAGCAAAACAGUUGUCUGUUGAUGAAGAUAAAAUAAAAAAUGAAUCAAAUUUUAUAAAAGACUUGGGAGCAGACAGCCUUGAUUCUGUAGAACUAAUUAUGGCCUUAGAAGAAAAAUUUAAUGUGACAAUAUCCGACCAAGACGCUCUUAAAAUUACCUCUGUUCAAGAGGCCAUUGAUUUUAUUGAAAAAAAUCAAAAAAAAGAUACUUAAUAAAAUAAUAAAAUUAGUUUGUUUAACA
Molecule: long non-coding RNA, 1386 nt
Filed under: Piliocolobus tephrosceles (Ugandan red Colobus)
Lineage: Eukaryota; Metazoa; Chordata; Mammalia; Primates; Cercopithecidae
Description: lncRNA (ENSPTEG00000026596.1)
Source: RNAcentral